GUCGGUGCGCAUUAGAUUGUCCAAACCAGUUUCUUCAAAACAUGUUCAUAGCUCUCGAUACAAACCUGCAGAUGCUCUGGUUUAUCUGCGACUCUGGAACUGAGAUGGGCGCACGAAUCGUGGGUUGGAGCACCUAGUGCCGUCUACGAACGAAGCUAGAUCUGACGGACGAAGCUCAGGCAAGAAUCAAGCACUUCGGUCCUUCCGGUCGAGAGGCAGGGGAGAACAGAGCAAUCAAACGCGAGGUUCGGGAAGACUGGGGACGAAGGUGAUGAGGGCUUCGAGGGGUCGCGGCGGUAGCUAGUAGACACCAGGGACUCGCCGAUGACACGAAAGCUGCUAGUUUUCGCCGGAAAUGCGGGUGGGGCGCUCAUGUAUAGCCGCUGGGUGCGGUUCUGGGACGGCUGCAGGUCUGGGCUCGAUGGAGGAGUUGCCGAGACGCCGGGACUUGCUGAGGACGUUACCGGGAACUAGUCAUGGACGCUGGAAUCACCGGAAAACAGCGGAGGUCACGGUCUGGUAGCGAUGGGCCUGGGAUGGUCGCGUGUGAAUAUCUUCCACCCCCACGCCCUGCCAGACCAAAUCCUCUUUAUCCUCUGAUUUUCUCCCUUCCUCACGCCACGCCCACGUCUUCUGAUCUUCUUAUUCCUCGGCUUCUUCCAUGUCCUGUGCGUGGACUGUGCUUGUUUCCUUCUUUCUAUUUUUUUUUUCUCUUCAUUUCUUCUUG
This 727-nucleotide long non-coding RNA is filed under the name Eucalyptus grandis. RNAcentral's name for it is "long non-coding RNA (EGRA_LNC006809)". The record is from RNAcentral. Lineage: Eukaryota; Viridiplantae; Streptophyta; Magnoliopsida; Myrtales; Myrtaceae.